AGUGGCGGGGUUCUCGCCGGUCCUGCGGGUCGCUGCUUGGCUGUGGGUUAGCAGCACCCUGAGCGGAGCGGAAGAGCUGCCCGCCGCCGCGUAACCCCGAGGCCGAGACUCCUGGCCUGGCCUCCUUGGGCCCACGACGCCUGCCCCGCGGAGCGGACCCAUGGGCCUGAGGUUUGUGUGCGGGGCCUCAGGCGAGCGCUGGCGCAGCCUGUCCCCCAUCGUCUGCGCCCUGCGGGCCUGGCCCUCCCCGUGGAAGGACCGCGGGCUUCGGGGCCCCACGCUGGGGGGCUGACUCCUGCCACACACACAGCGGUGGCCGCGGGCCUGGGGCGGCAGCACAGCCAUUCUGCUCGGGCUGCGUGAGCUGACCCCGCUCUCUGUGCACCUACUUUUGCUGCGUUUGGUGCUGAGCCUGAAGUCCCAGGACAGGCGGCUGAGGGGGAAAGAUGGUGUGAAUUGGGUGGGCAGAGACAACUGAAAGCCACAGGACCCGGUUGGCACCUUUUUGGCCGCCUGCGCCUUUGCCUGCAGCCCCGCUCCCUGGGUCACCCGAAGGAGGAGCUGGCGCUCUUUCCGGGCGCAGAAGCACCCGACCCACGCUGGAGGAAACGGUCCCUCUGGGCAGGAGAAGCUUUGGGCCUGGCUGGAGCACACUCACGGAACCACGCCAACGCCUGGCCUGUAGCCAGCUCCCACCUCCCCUCCCACCUUCUAAAAUGCUUGCGGAUCUCACGUGGCCGACCCUAACCAGAUACACAUGGGGAAAGGAAUCAGGUGGCACACAUACCGCCUUUACUCCAUAGAGAACUUCCAAUUGUGGGUAAGAACAAAGCCCCACCUCUUCCUAAUAGAUGCAGUUUUCCACCUGCAGCCAAAAAGACAACCUGUUAUUAGCUUUUUUCCCAGAGGACAGGCAUCUCUAUGAAACUGCCAUUGCAAAAUUUGCCGACAGUGAGAUAACCAGCUCCAUUUUGCUUCUAACCUCCAUGCCCUCCUUGUUUACUGCUGCACGCAGGUUGAACUGUGGGAGGAACUUAGUUUAAAACAAAGAUGAUAACAGCCCUUUCCCAAAGGAAACCUUUCCUGGGGAUUAGCCUGCUUUUGUGGGACCAACAGAUUAGCCACAAGAUUAGAAACUACGGUUGAAGAGUCACGCAGCGGGAGGCUACAGGAUUCUGACCCUCCCCAAACUGCUCCUGGCGAUAACAUCACCAUCGUAAAGCCUAAGAUCAGCACUUGGUGGGUCACCUGGCACCACCCAGGCUCAUCUGAUGUUGUGGCACCCAGGAACUGACUCAGUGCGAAAACAGCUUCGACUCCCUGUGAUUUCAUCUCUGACCUGACCAAUGGGUACUUCUGACUCACUGGCUGCCCCCCACCCACCAGCUUAUCUUUAAAAACUCCAAACCCCAGAUGCUCAGGGAGACCGAGUAAUAAUAAAACUCCAGUCUCCCACACAGCUAGCUCUGCGUGAAUUACCUUUUCUCUGUUGCAAAUGCCCUUUCUUGAUAAAUUGGCUGUCUAGGUAACAGGGAAGGUGAACCCACUGGGCAGUUACACUUUUAUCCACCCUUCCAGCUGGAUCACGCGCCCUCUUCAAUGACAUGACACGCAGCUAGAGUGUAUGAGCUUGCUGCCGGCACCUUCCGUCCUGGAUCGCAUAGCAAGGCCUCAAUGGACAGCCAGGUGCCUGGUCCGGUCCCACUUUUUUUUCUGUCCUGUUCUCGUUUCCUCUUUGCUUGGCCAAAGAGGGUUGGGCCAGGGUCCUGAGUGCAAAGGCUUGGCUUGGUGAAUUAAAGUGGCAGUAGCCGUGUGGCAGAGAAAAUUUGUAGAUGGGUGAAAUCCUGGGCCUACACAGUGACAAAGUGUAUAUAGACAGCCAGCCUAGUUGGUGGAUGUGACAACCCCAGACUCUUCUAGAUUUGUGGAUCCGUGCACCUGCCAGACCUGUCUCUGAGCCAUCUGGGGAGGCUGGGUCGGCACAGACGCAACCCAGUCUCCUCCCACCUCCGAGAGUGCAGUGUCCUGAAUGGAGAACCCCAGCACCCAGAAGCAUCCACUGAAGGACGUGUGUCCUGGAACCCUGGCUGCACCCACAGAUACAGCCACUCCUGGGCCCAUGUGGAUGUAACCUUCGAGUGCCGGAAUGCCUCGUCUCCAUGGAGACCAAACUCAAGGGCCUGACUGGCCCAGUCUACCGAGACCAUGAGACCUGCUGUGCCCCUCGGCCAGGCCAACCCAAAUUCUUUUAAAUAAAAGGCACAAGCCACAGCCACACCAGCAGGAAGUGGAUACAGGAUAAGGGGCAGGGCUCACAUCUCAUCCUCAUCAGCCUUUGACCAGGCGACGGAGUCUGUGAUAGCUAGCUUAUCUGCUCUAUGCUCCAGGGACCUGGCCGGAACGAGCCGAGUUGCUGUCCUCAUGGAACUCUCAUCCUAGUGGGGCAGAGACAAGGACGGUGUAACGUGCCCGGGGGUCAGCACCACAGACAAAACGCAGGGAGCACGGCACAGUGUGGGCCAGGGAAGGCCUGGCUUCCCAAGGGUGUGGGCGCGAGCAGCAUGGCUGUGGGGAGUUCUAGGUGCAGAGAACUACUCCAGAGACGAAGCCAGGCCUGCGAGGAGGCCGGAGCGCAUGAGGGGAAGGCACGAGGCAAGGCUGCCAGGGCUGUGCUGGUGGUGCGGGACGGUCCUGUGGGGGUAGCUGCGGAGAUGGCACUGAUGCCUUCGGCUCCAGCAGCAUCCUGGGCUGGUGCGGGCCAAUAAGGGGCAGGGUUGGGGCAGGAUGAAAGGCACAAGCCACAGCCAUGUCAAGCAGGAAGUGGAUGCAGGGUACAGCCUGUCAGGGUCAGGGUGAAAGGCAGGGAGGCGGGUAGGCCAUAGGUGAAUUUGGAGCAGCCUGUAGAGGACAGGAUGUGCCAUCAAAGACUUGUUCUUGGGUCCAGCUGAGACUGUCCCUUGGGGCUUCCUGUCACCUUGUGCAGGAUAGUGAGACCAUCCUUGGAAAACCCAUCGGGACUGCAGAGCGCGGCUCAGAGCUGACUGUCCAGGCCUGGCAGGGGCUGACCCCUGGGCGCUGGUGCACCCUCCGUGCGGCCUCUUGGAGGAAGCACACAAGGCGACAGUUCCCAGCUGCCGCCUGAGAUGCAGCAUCUGCUUUACUCCAGCCCAGCACUGCUCACCGUCACUGCCCACUCUUAUGAUUUUACUUCCCUUCAUAUUUGUGAUUUUGCAAAGAUGGUGUUGACUUACAGCUGCAGCAUCAAAUGACUGACUGCCACCAGCUUGGCCCCAGCUCAGGGACAUGUCUGAGCCCAGGCAGAGCACCCUAGUGGCCGGGAAGCCUCACCUGGAGCUCCUGCGGGUGGCUGCAGUCCGCCAGGUGAUCCGUGAGGAGGGCUUGGAGAGGCCCCAUGAUGGCGUGGAAGGAUGGCAGGGACCCGUACAUGAGCACGCAGCGCUUCAGCAGGGCCAGGCCCACAGCCAGGCAGGACAGUCUGUGAGGGCAGGAGGCAAGAGGAGGUCCAACUUGUUCUGUUUGUCACUGACAAAACCAAUAACGUGGCAAAAAUGAACUUCCCCACUUCCACUAGGCUGAAAACUCCAGUGUGGCCACCUUGGCCGGCCAGGGUUGGGCCCAUGCAACCACGGGCAAGGCAGGCUCAGGGUCAGGCCUAACGCAGGAGGGGAGGCUGUGGGAACCGCAGCGCCAGCUGGGAUGGGGCGGCUCCAUUUUUGGUUCCAAAUUAUGAUUUGUGAAAUCAAGCAAAUGUAUUUUGAAAAUGAAAAGAAAAAGGGACAGCAAGCCAACAUGCCUCA
Molecule: long non-coding RNA, 3818 nt
Filed under: Homo sapiens (human)
Lineage: Eukaryota; Metazoa; Chordata; Mammalia; Primates; Hominidae
Description: NOP14 antisense RNA 1
Source: RNAcentral